This 169-nucleotide ribosomal RNA is filed under the name Buergersiochloa bambusoides. RNAcentral's name for it is "5.8S ribosomal RNA". The stretch from base 89 to 169 matches the Rfam family "5.8S ribosomal RNA", at positions 1 to 81 of the family's 154-position model. Lineage: Eukaryota; Viridiplantae; Streptophyta; Magnoliopsida; Poales; Poaceae. The record is from RNAcentral.
ACACCGUGCCUAACCAGGGGCGCGGACGGCCCGGCCAGCCGGCGCCGGCCGCCCCCUGCGUUCGAUACGCAACAACGAUAACCCACACGACUCUCGGCAACGGAUAUCUCGGCUCUCGCAUCGAUGAAGAACGUAGCGAAAUGCGAUACCUGGUGUGAAUUGCAGAAUC